GUCAUUUAGAGGAAGUAUAAGUCGUAACAAGGUUUCCGUAGGUGAACCUGCGGAAGGAUCAUUAUUGAAAUAAACCUGAUGGGUUGUUGCUGGCUCUCUAGGGAGCAUGUGCACGCCUUGUCAUCUUUAUAUCUCCACCUGUGCACCUUUUGUAGACCUUUCGGGGUCUAUGUUGCUUCAUUUUUCCACAAUGUAUGUUAAUAGAAUGUUGUGCCCUGUAUAAUAUAUACAACUUUCAGCAACGGAUCUCUUGGCUCUCGCAUCGAUGAAGAACGCAGCGAAAUGCGAUAAGUAAUGUGAAUUGCAGAAUUCAGUGAAUCAUCGAAUCUUUGAACGCACCUUGCGCUCCUUGGUAUUCCGAGGAGCAUGCCUGUUUGAGUGUCAUUAAUAUACAUAUAUCAAGCCUUCUCUUGUAGAAGGGUUUGGAUGUGGGGGUUUGCUGGCCUCUUAAUCUUAAGAGUUCAGCUCUCCUGAAAUGCAUUAGCAGAACAACCUUAUGUUCAUUGGUGUGAUAACUAUCUACGCUAUUGAAUGUUGAGGGGCAAGUUCAGCUUUCUAACGGUCCUUGGACAAACUCAUCAUUAAUGUGACCUCAAAUCAGGUAGGACUACCCGCUGAACUUAAGCAUAUCAAUAAGCGGAGGAAAAGAAACUAACAAGGAUUCCCCUAGUAACUGCGAGUGAAGCGGGAAAAGCUCAAAUUUAAAAUCUGGCGGUUUUUUUGGCGGUCCGAGUUGUAAUCUAGAGAAGUGUUAUCCGCG
This 760-nucleotide ribosomal RNA is filed under the name Cortinarius saniosus. Its description in RNAcentral is "eukaryotic LSU rRNA". The stretch from base 231 to 384 matches the Rfam family "5.8S ribosomal RNA". Lineage: Eukaryota; Fungi; Basidiomycota; Agaricomycetes; Agaricales; Cortinariaceae. The record is from RNAcentral.